GGGUAGGUGCCCGAGUGGCUAAAGGGAGCAGACUGUAAAUCUGCCGUCGAGAGACUACGGUGGUUCGAAUCCACCCUUGCCCACCA
RNAcentral lists this transfer RNA (86 nucleotides) under Clostridium sp. CAG:967. RNAcentral describes it as "transfer RNA-Tyr(GTA)". It matches the Rfam family "tRNA". From Rfam's summary of the family: Transfer RNA (tRNA) molecules are approximately 80 nucleotides in length. Lineage: Bacteria; Bacillati; Bacillota; Clostridia; Eubacteriales; Clostridiaceae. RNAcentral also lists the same sequence under 2 other names. The record is from RNAcentral.